GUGGGGAAUAUUGGACAAUGGGCGAAAGCCUGAUCCAGCCAUGCCGCGUGAGUGAUGAAGGCCCUAGGGUUGUAAAGCUCUUUCACCGGGGAAGAUAAUGACGGUACCCGGAGAAGAAGCCCCGGCUAACUUCGUGCCAGCAGCCGCGGUAAUACGAAGGGGGCUAGCGUUGUUCGGAAUUACUGGGCGUAAAGCGCACGUAGGCGGAUCAGUCAGUUAGGGGUGAAAUACCAGGGCUCAACCCUGGAACUGCCUUUAAUACUGCUGAUCUAGAGUUCGAGAGAGGUGAGUGGAAUUCCGAGUGUAGAGGUGAAAUUCGUAGAUAUUCGGAGGAACACCAGUGGCGAAGGCGGCUCACUGGCUCGAUACUGACGCUGAGGUGCGAAAGCGUGGGGAGCAAACAGGAUUAGAAACCCUGGUAGUCC
RNAcentral lists this ribosomal RNA (425 nucleotides) under uncultured bacterium. Its description in RNAcentral is "partial 16S ribosomal RNA". It matches the Rfam family "Bacterial small subunit ribosomal RNA", at positions 354 to 796 of the family's 1533-position model. The record is from RNAcentral.